GCUUAGGGAGGCAGACUGCCUCAGUGUGGCUGAAACGGAGCUGCUUUCCAAUCACACAUGCCGACCAGGCUUAUCUGAAAGGUAAUGACAGCAGUAAUGGUGGCGGAUAUGCUCAUUGGCCAAUCCUAGAUGACAGAAUGGCGUGUGGCCUCAGGGGUAGCAUUUGACCUCCUUCUGAUUGGAGCAUUAGAAGCUUAAAGGGGCAUGACCAAACUAUCAAGAAAUGUGAAGCACAUCUAGAGGCCUUGUCUGGGCCCAAGGAAGAAACAGACUAGUCUGACCAGCAACCCAUUUCUAUAAAGGACAAGACUUGGAGAUAAUGCAUUUUCCUUGUUCACAACAUGCAGUUGUGGUGCUUUAUCAUGGUCGCCUCAGGAAAUAUAGCACUCACAGACCAGAAGGAGAGACAAAUCUAGGAGCAGAG
Molecule: long non-coding RNA, 424 nt
Organism: Meriones unguiculatus (Mongolian gerbil)
Lineage: Eukaryota; Metazoa; Chordata; Mammalia; Rodentia; Muridae
Exons: 3
Source: RefSeq, a predicted model, not a curated record